UGGGGGAUAUUGCACAAUGGGCGAAAGCCUGAUGCAGCGACGCCGCGUGGGGGAUGAAGGCUUUCGGGUUGUAAACCUCUUUCGCUAUCGAACAAGGCCCGCUUAGGGUGGGUUGAGGGUAGGUGGAGAAGAAGCGCCGGCUAACUACGUGCCAGCAGCCGCGGUAAUACGUAGGGCGCGAGCGUUGUCCGGAAUUAUUGGGCGUAAAGGGCUUGUAGGCGGCUUGUUGCGCCUGCUGUGAAAACGCGGGGCUUAACUUCGCACGUGCAGUGGGUACGGGCAUGCUUGAGUGUGGUAGGGGUGACUGGAAUUCCAGGUGGAGCGGUGGAAUGCGCAGAUAUCUGGAGGAGCACAGAUGGCGAAGGCAGGUCACUGGGCCAUUACGGACGCUGAGGAGCGAAAGCAUGGGUAGCGAACAGG
This 420-nucleotide ribosomal RNA is filed under the name bacterium. RNAcentral describes it as "partial 16S ribosomal RNA". It matches the Rfam family "Bacterial small subunit ribosomal RNA", at positions 355 to 776 of the family's 1533-position model. The record is from RNAcentral.